UACGGGGGGGGGCAAGCGUUGUUCGGAAUUACUGGGCGUAAAGGGCUCGUAGGCGGCCAACUAAGUCAGACGUGAAAUCCCUCGGCUUAACCGGGGAACUGCAUCUGAUACUGGAUGGCUUGAGUUCGGGAGAGGGAUGCGGGAUUCCAGGUGUAGCGGUGAAAUGCGUAGAUAUCUGGAGGAACACCGGUGGCGAAGGCGGCAUCCUGGACCGACACUGACGCUGAGGAGCGAAAGCCAGGGGAGCAAACGGG
This 254-nucleotide ribosomal RNA is filed under the name uncultured bacterium. Its description in RNAcentral is "partial 16S ribosomal RNA". It matches the Rfam family "Bacterial small subunit ribosomal RNA", at positions 524 to 776 of the family's 1533-position model. The record is from RNAcentral.